This 265-nucleotide unclassified non-coding RNA is filed under the name Hevea brasiliensis (rubber tree). Lineage: Eukaryota; Viridiplantae; Streptophyta; Magnoliopsida; Malpighiales; Euphorbiaceae. The record is from RNAcentral.
GUUUGAACGUAGGCAUCUCCGCGAUCACCAGAGUAAAGUUUUCCUAUCUGAGAACACACCACCUAGCUUAUUCUAGUACGUUGGACAAAGGACGGAUAGGAAAUGUCGAAGACAAAAGAAAUGAGGACCUUUCAGGAUACCCAGCUAUAAUCUGAUGGUUCUGAAAGCAACACAGGAUGAGAUCUUCAGCCUGAACUUUUUGGAGGUUUGAAGUUACUCUCGAGCCAAUGUCAAGAUGCUACUUUUUAAAAGAGUAUGGAUUUAU